CCCGGAGUCGAGGGAACGAGGUGUGAAUAAGAAGGUAUCGAUCAAGCAGACAUAAAGAGACUGACAGCAAUAUCCUAUGGGAUGUCGUCGUUUCAGCCUCCGACAUCUGAGGUGACUGUUUGCAUCUCCUACUCUGACCUCAUCGGACCGAAAACAUGCCAGGGACAACUGGUGUGUCACAACUGGCGUGUCAUUCAUCCGAAUGGGUCCAACUGAGGCAUUUUUUUACUUAGUAUCAGCUGCUGAUGAGUCUGUCUUUUCAUUCUUCUGCUGAGGCUUUGCAGUCCGUUUUUGGACCUCACAUUAAUUGCAAACCCAAAAUAUUCGAUGGACAGUAAUGCUUGACCGCCACAUCCUAACAGGUAACCUUGGGAACAGAAGAAGAUCCCUAUAGUAUAUUGUUCUGACGGCUUACUGGAGUUAUAAAUGCAGUCUUUAUUGUUUUCGGAUAUUACGGACUCAUUCCGUACACGGUCAAUAAAAAAAUAACACUUUCAGAGAAAACGAGAAAUUAAACUUGUGUUGUGAGAGGCAGAAAAUUGGAGAGGCCUGCUGUGUGGGUGUGGAUGAACAGGGAGACGUCGUUAUUUGAAAGUGAAAUUAAGACGCUUCCAUAUUGAAGAUGCACUGGAAUCACUAUAAGUCUGUAAUUGAUGUCUAACCUAGUGAUUACUGACCGGAUGUGCCCUCCCUCAAAAAGCAAAAUGGAAAAUACUCAAACUAAAUAUUUAGAUAUACCCCCGCAGCCCUCUGUUGGUAGCAAGAUGGAUGGAUGGAUUUAGAUAUAUAAAUAAGAAUAAAAAUAGAGCUCUUUAGUUGCCAGCUGUGUCUUUACCAGUCGUGGCGUGUUGGGUCUGGGAGUGAGGGCUGCCUUUACGGAUCACUGGGGCUCACUGGGGCUCACUGGGUCUCGCCGGGUCUCACUGUGUACAACCCAGCAGCCUCACCAUGUACCUGCGGCCGCGUGAAGGUGCCGCUAAUGGCAGGCCGUGGUUCACUUUCGAGGGGACCACCGCUCCCGAUGAAGACUUACAUCCAGGUCAGCGGCAGGCCAGGCACCGAGAUGCGGAGCCUGGUGAUGUAACAUUCACUCUCCCCUCGUCGGUAAGUGACCCGGCUGCUCGCACCCCCUCCAGGUGCUUUUAAACAUUCCUCUGUGCCUGUAGAUGCGUGCUGGUUAGGUUCAAGUUCCUCUUUUUCCACUGGCGACAUUCCUCUGGAAACACCUAUACAUUAGCACGAGAGGUCAGAGUACGUCGAGCAUGCAAAUUGCGGAAUCUGCCGGAAGAGUGGGCAGCUAUAGCUGGCUCCCAGCCGCACAGAGGCUGUGGUUUUGAACCCUGAUGUGAGGUCGCAGUGGUUUUUCGGAUGGGCCUCUGAUCGACAGGAGAAUAAUGCCGCACCCUCUGACGUCCGCUCAUUCAAACAAACAGUGGAUUAUCCAGUGAUGCUUCUCCCGCUCCUCCGCGCUACAAGCACGCCUGAGUUAUUCCAAGCCACACGAUAUAAAAUUUAUGCGUCUCUGUAUAAUGCAUAAGGUAAUUUUGCAAUGCUUUUCCCACUGGCAUUAAUCUUCACAGCCAAAUCUUUUUUAAAAAAAAGGCGCAAAAUGUUUUAAAUGAUCUUUUUUUGUCUAGUUACCCUUUUAAUAAAUAUUUCAUCGGCACUUGAAGUUGGCCUCACCCAAGUCGCUCUCACAUGAAUAAAUAUAUAAAUAAAUGUGAUGCGCAGCCUCUGCGGAUCUCACGGGGCCCAGUGGCUGCCGGUCUGCUCUGGUGACGUUUAUCGGCACGGGUGAGGGAUUCCUGGGUGGGAGUCGUGGCCUCCGGUGACAUGUGCACAUACAGAGGAACCCAAAAUGGUAUAAGCGAAGAAGCUUUUGGUAUAGCAGCAGAACGGCGUCCUGCUGCUAGUAUGCUGUGGAUGGUGUACAUCAUGAUAAUGAGUUCAUGUGACAACAUUUAUGAACUAGCAGAUAAACCGUUAAGUCAUACAUUCAUAGUUCCUCAGGGGAUGAUGUGUGGCUCAGGCUCCCAUAUCUGUGAUCAGUAGGCUGUACGUUCAAAUCCCAGGGUCCUAUCCCACUGAUUUAACUCUUGGGCCCUUUAGCGAGGCCCUUAACCCCUAGUUGCUCCAGGGACUAGCUGACCCUGCUUUCACGAAACCUCUGAGUCACCCUGGAUAAAAGUUUCUGCUAAGUUAAUGGGGGUGCUUCUCCUACAGAUCUCCGUCAUGUUCUUGUGCUCACAUCUGGUUUUCAGUGUGAAACUCAGAGGGCUGGUCCCAGGCAAUAGGAAGGGGAGAUACAGUAUAAGUUCAAAAAGGCAGAGAGAGGGGCUUUCAUGACAGCCAGUGCCAGGCAGCAUGUGGGGAAAUGGGAACGCUGCUACAGCAGAUGGCUGUGCAUGGCUUCUCCCAGCAUCCUCUGGGGCACUGUGGUUCUUCAGGUGAAGAGACGCAAAGCCAGUGCAGAUGUUUAGCUGCAUGCUAACGUUCAGCCGCCUGCCUUCUGGCAGGAAUACACCUUUGGUCAUCACUGUCUGUGGCCUCCAGCCAAGUGCUAUGAACUCUAAAUGUCUCUUAAACUUAGACAGCUUUACACCGGCGAAGUUUAUAACUUUUGUUCAACGGCAUGUACAGAACUAACUGUAAUCCCAGUUUCAACAUAUCCACCCAAAAAAUGCAUAAAAACUAUAUGAAAUUAAAAUAUAGAUACCUGAUGUAUUAGUUUGCCUGAUACUGGGCAAUUAUUCGGACAUCAUAUCUGGAGCCUCAUUUAUAAAACAUUCUUAUGCACAGAUUUGAUCUUAGAUUUUGCGCACGAUCAAAUCCACGCCAAACUUCAAAUUUUUGAAAACGGUCUUUGGUGUAGAAAAGUACUUAUAACCACCGUCAGGUUCAGACUUGAUAUAUGCACUUUCCUUGUGGCAACGUUGGGGUAUCGCAGCUAGACAGAAAUCGGACCACCGUGGACUCCCUGUUUGGGUUGCCACUUUCAAUCGCUCAGGGGGCCCUAACAAAGUGCUUGGCUUCCUGAAUCUGUCAUAGCAUCCAUGCCCUUCUGAGGCCCUUGAUCGUGACAUCACUAGCAGUUACACCACUGGAAAGGCUCCGAAACAGCAACCCUGCACGCAUUUGUACCUGGAUGGAUGGAUGGAUGGAUGGAUGGAUGGAUGGAUGGAUGGAUGGAUGGAUGGAUGGAUGGAUGGAUGGAUGGACUGUGGAGUUUUCAUUUGUAUUAUGCUCUGAUUAUUAUUAUUAUUGAUAUCAGUCCAUUACAGGGUAAAUCCACCCACACAUGCAGUCAUUUGCUGGGGGCAAUUUACAGACACCAAUCUACCUAAACUAUGUGUUUUUGGAACUUUGGUAGAAAACACCCACAUGCAGGAGGUUGGAAGACGAGUGGAUUAUUGUUAUUAUAUUCAGUUUCUUAUUAUUUAAUGAAUGAGGAUGUUCAACUGCGCAGCAGAGUUAGGAAAUGAAGUUGAAAGAAGCCAUGAAAUUCAAACGUCAUUCCAGAGGAAAUUGGCAGGAAAUACGCCAAGCGGCGAGUGAGAAUGAAGGUGCUGGAGGGGGAGGAUGUCCUGCACAGCCUACCGAGAGCAGCUCAGCCGCGACCGAAACCAUGUGCUUACCACAGCCUCACAUAGACCGAAACCAUGUGCCUACCACAGCCUCACAUAGACCGAAACCAUGUGCUUACCACAGCCUCACAUAGACCGAAACCAUGUGCUUACCACAGCCUCACAUAGAUCAAAACCAUGCGCUUACCACAGCCUCACAUAGACCGAAACCAUGCGCUUACCACAGCCUCACAUAGACCGAAACCAUGUGCUUACCACAGUCUCACAUAAACCGAAACCAUGUGCUUACCACAGCCUCACAUAGACCGAAACCAUGUGCUUACCACAGCCUCACAUAGACCGAAACCAUGUGCUUACCACAGCCUCACAUAGACCAAAACCAUGUGCUUACCACAGCCUCACAUAGACCGAAACCAUGUGCUUACCACAGUCUCACAUAGACCGAAACCAUGUGCUUACCACAGCCUCACAUAGACCGAAACCAUGUGCUUACCACAGUCUCACAUAGACCGAAACCAUGUGCUUACCACAGCCUCACAUAGACCGAAACCAUGUGCUUACCACAGCCUCACAUAGACCGAAACCAUGUGCUUACCACAGCCUCACAUAGACCGAAACCAUGUGCUUACCACAGCCUCACAUAGAUCAAAACCAUGUGCUUACCACAGCCUCACAUAGACCGAAACCAUGUGCUUACCACAGCCUCACAUAGACCGAAACCAUGUGCUUACCACAGCCUCACAUAGACUGAAUCCAUGUGCUUAACACAGCCUCACAUAAAUUGAAACCACCAUCUUACCACAGCCUCAGAUAGACCGAAACCAUGUACUUACCACAGCCACACAUAGACUGAAACCACCUUCUUACCACAGCCUCAGAUAGACUGAAACCAUAUGCUUACCACAGCUUCACAUAGACCGAAACCACCUUCUUACCACAGCCUUACAUAGACGAAACCACCUUCUUACCAAAGUCUCACAUAGACUGAAACCACCUUCUUACCAAAGCCUCACAUAGACCGAAACCAUGUGCUUACCACAGCCUCACAUAGACCGAAACCACCUUCUUACCACAGCCUUACAUAGACGAAACCACCUUCUUACCAAAGUCUCACAUAGACUGAAACCACCUUCUUACCAAAGCCUCACAUAGACCGAAACCAUGUGCUUACCACAGCCUCACAUAGACCGAAACCACGUUCUUACCACAGCCUCACAUAGACCGAAACCACGUUCUUACCAAUGCCUCAUAGACCAAAAGCACAUUCUUACUACAACCUCACAUUGACUGAAACCACAUUCUUAAUAUAACCUCACAUCACAUACAACUGCAUCCAAACUUGCAUUCUUACUGCAACCUCACAAACACGGGCAGUCAAAAAGCAGAUAUCACACUCUGACAUGCCAAAUUAUGUUUUCCAUAUGAAAUAUUAAAAUUUUUAGAUCCAAAAUGUUUUUAUACCCUUUUAGACAGUCUUUAUAUGGCAGAAAAAGUGAGACAAAAAUAUGACAAAACAAUCUUAUAUGUCCUGUAACACUUUUCCUGUUAUAUGGAAAGUAUUUAGCAGGGCGUCGAUUCAGAAUUUAAUAAAACACUGUGUCUGUUGAAAGCUGUUUUAAAUUAGCGACUGAGACGUGCUUAACAAUAGAAAUGUGUCUCUGUCUAGAACACUGUGCCUCGGUUAUAUAUUGAUUGAUUCAUUGAUAGGCAGCUGAUAUGACACAUGCCUUUUGCUUAUCAGCCUCUGCCUGACCCUGGGGAUACAGGAGGCCCCGCUUCUUUGCUGCCUGCCACACCACUUCAGUGACA
Molecule: long non-coding RNA, 5393 nt
Organism: Brienomyrus brachyistius
Lineage: Eukaryota; Metazoa; Chordata; Actinopteri; Osteoglossiformes; Mormyridae
Exons: 5
Source: RefSeq, a predicted model, not a curated record